RNAcentral lists this ribosomal RNA (459 nucleotides) under uncultured bacterium. Its description in RNAcentral is "bacterial SSU rRNA". It matches the Rfam family "Bacterial small subunit ribosomal RNA", at positions 29 to 506 of the family's 1533-position model. The record is from RNAcentral.
GUGAACGCUGGCGGCGUGCUUAAGACAUGCAAGUCGAACGGCCUUCUUCGGAAGGCAGUGGCGCACGGGUGAGUAACGCGUAACUGACCUACCCUCAAGUCUGGAAUAACGGGUCGAAAGAUCCGCUAAUACUGGAUGUGCAGUGUCGCUGUGGCGACACUGUAAAGAUUGAUCGCUUGAGGAUGGGGUUGCGUUUCAUCAGCUGGUUGGUGGGGUAAAGGCCUACCAAGGCGACGACGAAUAGCCGGCCUGAGAGGGUGGCCGGCCACAGGGGCACUGAGACACGGGUCCCACUCCUACGGGAGGCAGCAGUUAGGAAUCUUCCACAAUGGGCGCAAGCCUGAUGGAGCGACGCCGCGUGAGGGAUGAAGGUUUUCGGAUCGUAAACCUCUGAAUCUGGGACGAAAGACGCGUCAAGCGGGAUGACGGUACCAGAGUAAUAGCACCGGCUAACUCCGU